This 468-nucleotide ribosomal RNA is filed under the name uncultured bacterium. RNAcentral's name for it is "partial 16S ribosomal RNA". It matches the Rfam family "Bacterial small subunit ribosomal RNA", at positions 28 to 507 of the family's 1533-position model. The record is from RNAcentral.
GACGAACGCUGGCGGCGUGCUUAACACAUGCAAGUCGAACGGAAAGGCCCUGCUUUUGUGGGGUGCUCGAGUGGCGAACGGGUGAGUAACACGUGAGUAACCUGCCCUUGACUUUGGGAUAACUUCAGGAAACUGGGGCUAAUACCGGAUAGGAGCUCCUGCUGCAUGGUGGGGGUUGGAAAGUUUCGGCGGUUGGGGAUGGACUCGCGGCUUAUCAGCUUGUUGGUGGGGUAGUGGCUUACCAAGGCUUUGACGGGUAGCCGGCCUGAGAGGGUGACCGGCCACAUUGGGACUGAGAUACGGCCCAGACUCCUACGGGAGGCAGCAGUGGGGAAUAUUGCACAAUGGGCGGAAGCCUGAUGCAGCAACGCCGCGUGCGUGAUGACGGCCUUCGGGUGGUAAACCGCUUUCGCCUGUGACGAAGCGUGAGUGACGGUAAUGGGUAAAGAAGCACCGGCUAACUACGUG